This 586-nucleotide ribosomal RNA is filed under the name uncultured beta proteobacterium. RNAcentral's name for it is "bacterial SSU rRNA". It matches the Rfam family "Bacterial small subunit ribosomal RNA", at positions 338 to 916 of the family's 1533-position model. The record is from RNAcentral. Lineage: Bacteria; Pseudomonadati; Pseudomonadota; Betaproteobacteria.
CCUACGGGAGGCAGCAGUGGGGAAUUUUGGACAAUGGGCGCAGGCCUGAUCCAGCAAUGCCGCGUGCAGGAUGAAGGCCUUCGGGUUGUAAACUGCUUUUGUACGGAACGAAACGGUUCGCUUUAAUACAGUGGGCUAAUGACGGUACCGUAAGAAUAAGCACCGGCUAACUACGUGCCAGCAGCCGCGGUAAUACGUAGGGUGCGAGCGUUAAUCGGAAUUACUGGGCGUAAAGCGUGCGCAGGCGGUGAUGUAAGACAGAUGUGAAAUCCCCGGGCUCAACCUGGGACCUGCAUUUGUGACUGCAUCGCUAGAGUACGGUAGAGGGGGAUGGAAUUCCGCGUGUAGCAGUGAAAUGCGUAGAUAUGCGGAGGAACACCGAUGGCGAAGGCAAUCCCCUGGACCUGCACUGACGCUCAUGCACGAGAGCGUGGGGAGCAAACAGGAUUAGAUACCCUGGGUAGUCCACGCCCUAAACGAUGUCAACUGGUUGUUGGGUCUUCACUGACUCAGUAACGAAGCUAACGCGUGAAGUUGACCGCCUGGGGAGUACGACCGCAAGGUUGAAACUCAAAGGAAUUGACGG